GACGAACGCUGGCGGCGUGCUUAACACAUGCAAGUCGAACGGAAAGGCCCUGCUUUUGUGGGGUGCUCGAGUGGCGAACGGGUGAGUAACACGUGAGUAACCUGCCCUUGACUUUGGGAUAACUUCAGGAAACUGGGGCUAAUACCGGAUAGGAGCUCCUGCUGCAUGGUGGGGGUUGGAAAGUUUCGGCGGUUGGGGAUGGACUCGCGGCUUAUCAGCUUGUUGGUGGGGUAGUGGCUUACCAAGGCUUUGACGGGUAGCCGGCCUGAGAGGGUGACCGGCCACAUUGGGACUGAGAUACGGCCCAGACUCCUACGGGAGGCAGCAGUGGGGAAUAUUGCAAAAUGGGCGGAAGCCUGAUGCAGAAACGCCGCGUGCGGGAUGACGGCCUUCGGGUUGUAAACCGCUUUCGCCUGUGACGAAGCGUGAGUGACGGUAAUGGGUAAAGAAGCACCGGCUAACUACGU
RNAcentral lists this ribosomal RNA (467 nucleotides) under uncultured bacterium. RNAcentral describes it as "partial 16S ribosomal RNA". It matches the Rfam family "Bacterial small subunit ribosomal RNA", at positions 28 to 506 of the family's 1533-position model. The record is from RNAcentral.